AAUCAACGCUGGCGGCGUGCCUAACACAUGCAAGUCGAGCGAGAAAAGGGGAGCAAUCCCCUGAGUACAGCGGCGCACGGGUGAGUAACACGUGGGUAAUCUGCCCUGGAGUGGGGAAUAACACCGGGAAACCGGUGCUAAUACCGCAUACGAUCACAGAGUCUGCGGAUUUUGUGAUGAAAGGAGCAAUUCGCUCUAGGAGGAGCCCGCGGCUGAUUAGCUAGUUGGUGAGGUAAUGGCUAACCAAGGCAACGAUCAGUAUCCGGUCUGAGAGGGCGGGCGGACACACUGGAACUGAGAAACGGUCCAGAGUCCGACGGGAGGCAGCAGUGGGGAAUGUUUGGAAAUGGGGGCAAGCCUGACCAAGCAACGCCGCGUGGGUGAUGAAGUCUCUUGGGACGUAAAGCCCUUUCGACGGGGACGAAACCGCAAGGUUGACGGUACCCGUAGAAGAAGCCCCGGCUAACUCCGUGCCAGCCGCCGCUGUAA
RNAcentral lists this ribosomal RNA (489 nucleotides) under uncultured bacterium. RNAcentral describes it as "partial 16S ribosomal RNA". It matches the Rfam family "Bacterial small subunit ribosomal RNA", at positions 32 to 523 of the family's 1533-position model. The record is from RNAcentral.